Molecule: transfer RNA, 155 nt
Filed under: Potentilla californica
Lineage: Eukaryota; Viridiplantae; Streptophyta; Magnoliopsida; Rosales; Rosaceae
Description: partial transfer RNA-Phe
Rfam family: tRNA (bases 101-155)
Source: RNAcentral
AUAUUACUUUGUAAUAUCUUUGUAAUAUCUUUUAAUUUUUUUAAUUGACAUAGACCCAAGUCCUAUAUUAAAAUAAAAUGAGGAUGAUGCGUCGUGAAUGGUCGGGAUAGCUCAGCUGGUAGAGCAGAGGACUGAAAAUCCUCGUGUCACCAGUA